Molecule: transfer RNA, 81 nt
Organism: Puniceibacterium sp. IMCC21224
Lineage: Bacteria; Pseudomonadati; Pseudomonadota; Alphaproteobacteria; Rhodobacterales; Paracoccaceae
Rfam family: tRNA
About the family: Transfer RNA (tRNA) molecules are approximately 80 nucleotides in length. Their secondary structure includes four short double-helical elements and three loops (D, anti-codon, and T loops).
Source: Rfam
GCCCGCGUGGUGGAAUGGUAGACACAGGAGACUUAAAAUCUCCAGGCGCAAGCCGUACCGGUUCGAAUCCGGUCGCGGGUA